UCCUCUCUCUCUCUGUCUCGCUCUCUUCAAGAUCUACAGCUGGACUUCUCAAAUGUUAAAAUGUCUGGAAAUUACCUGGGAAUCAUGUUAAAAUGCAGAUUCUGACCCGGGAGGUCUGUGCGGGGGCCCUGAGAUCUUGCAUUUCUGACGAGCUCCUGGAUGACACUUUUGCCACAUAUCCUUGGGCCAAGCUUUGGAAACCAGAGUCUGGCUACCCAGCCAGGCAUCUGGCCAAAUCUGUGUCCUCAAUACUUAGUAUUUGUUGCCAGGUAAACAGUGGGUAGCGGGUAAAGUGUCGCUGGAUGGAUUAAAGAAUUAAUUUCUCCUAAUUAUAAUGUUGACAAUCAAAGCCAGUGUUUGAGCUCUUAGUAUCUGUCAGGCGCUGUGACUUAUAUUAAAUCUAACUAGCGCCGUGAGAAGGACUUCUAAUCAUUUCUCCAUUUGGCAGGCGGGAAACCCAAGCCCCAGAGAGGCUGAGUGACUGUGGUGAGGGUGAAGCCGGCAUGUGGACCCCAAGUCUGGGCCUUGAACAUCUGUGGUAUCCAGAGUGUCAUAGGAAGGGGAAUGGGGUACCGAGUUGCAAAGGAGCAUUUUCGAGUGCAUUGUGGGUGCUCGGUCAUUUCUCUUAUGUCACUGAUGUCCUGCAUCCACCUUGAUGUCAACGAUAUAGCUCCCUAAGUAGAAAGGGUUACUGUUCUGUGCUAGGACAUAGAUUUCCAAGUGAUCAGGAGGGGACAAUCCUGGGGACCCGGGACUCUCAGUGGGGUGCUCGCAGGAACGUGGCUGAAGUGUGUGGCUGCAUAUGACAUCGAGGGCGAGCCCACAAACUUCACCAGACUCUCGAGGGCAUGCGACCUCAGAAGAGCCAGGAACGACUGCUUUAGACAAUCAGAACUGUCUCUAUCAAGGGUUCUCCUGCUGGACAGAAUUAAUUCUUCAGAAUUGCCAGGGAGAGGAAAUAAGCUUGAACAAGUGGCAGGAGCUUGCUAAGACUUGGCCUGGUUUUGGACUGUUGAGUCCCUGGGCACUGUGGCCCCUCUCUUCCCAUCUCCAUUAGAUCCUGCUGGGACCUUUGUGUGGCAUCUCUUCUCCCCACGGGGCAGGAGCCACGUCCUAUCCAUCGUCAAUUGGAGGAAGUGUGCCUCUGUGUCUGGCACAGAGCAGGACUCUGAAAUGCUAGUGGAGUUGGUAGGUCUGGGUAGCAGGGGCUAGAAUUCUCUAGAAUUCAUUUCCCCAGCCAGUGAAGGCGGUCUCCUCUGCCGGGGGAGCGGGAGAACCCGGAGGGACCAGGAGCGGAAGCUGUCGUCUUUUAGUUGGCCACGAGGCGGCGCUAUUGGUCUGCACUCGGGUCCCGGCCAUUGUCUCCGCCGGCUCUGCGACAACGCAUUAUUCAAGAGGGUGAUCGCUACCAAAGGCUAGACUCACGACGUAUCAUGUCACACAAAUGGCCGAUAAUGAAUGGGACGGGGCAGCCGAUUAGCUGCAUCCCAGCCCCCUCGGACCUGCUUUUGCGUGGACGGUACCUGCAGGACCGACCCCGCCUCGCCUACGCUCUGAAGGAGUCGCAGAUCCUCGUGAAAACCCACAGGUUGCUGCCAACUCUUUCCCAGGGCGACGCCUUCCUCGCUCCAUAUGCGCAUCAAGAGGCGGACGGAAAACGAUCCCUCUCGCGCAGGCCGCACCAAUUUCCAGCCUCACUUUUAGCUGGGCAACCGUCGAUUGUGCCCUGGAGGGGUGUGCGGGGAGGUUUCGGCGAAUUGGGCAGCGGCAGCCGCAGCAGCAGCGGGAGGCAAGGCCCAGGCGGGCUCGGCGGCGGGAAGAGGGGAAAGUCGCCUCCUCCGUGCGGUCUUGCGUCCCGCCGGACCUGCGUCCCCCCCUCCCGCGGGCCCCAGUCCAAGCUCCCGCCUCUAGGCGGCAGCACCGCAGCACGGAAGGCGCUCCAGAGCCCGGCCCAGGCCCGCGGGGUUGCAGCUAGUGCUGCUUUUGCCUGCGACCUCUGUGAGCACACCGGUGUGAUUUGGGGCACGUGGCCUCCUGUCCUAGGCCCGGCCUCUGUUUUCCCCUCUGUAAAAUGGGGACGUUAGCACCUGCUGCACCAGGUAUGUGAAGGCUCUUCAGACACUCUGACAAGCACGCUCAGGGGGAGGCACUUGGAGCAUUAGGGGAAACCCAGGGCCUGGGUCUUAAGGUGCCGCGCGGGCAAAUCUCUUAACCUCUCCGGGACUGAAGUGGCCGGUCCGCAGAAGAUGAGGUUGGAGCGGGUGACGUUGGAGGUUUUUUUCCAUCCUGCACCUCAACCUGUGAUAAAACACAGCUAUCCCGCGUACUACGCCUUCGAAGCCUCGAUCUGGCAAACGAUCAGAAAUGAUGCGAGCAAAUGCAUGAGCGGGCAGGAAGAACCUGCUGUCCUCUGCUCUACCGCGUCCUGUGGAAGAAGACAAAAGGGGGGCAUCGCCACUGACUACAGAGAGCAGGGCGUCCAGUCUCCGUCUUGCAGGAGGAGCUGGGCCAGGCUGAAGGGAACAUUGGCCUCUUUCCUGUUGAUGGUACACGGCAGGCUCAUCCUCCAGAGAUGCCACCCGGGAGAGCCCAGCGGGGGCAGCUCUGAGGUUGCCGGCAUGGCCCAGCGUAUGGCCAACGCAGGGAAUCAGGUGCCUGGGGACUCAGGGGCCGCCUCAAGUCUAUGUGAAAGAAAUUAUAGCGGGAUGCUUGUGGAUGAAGAUGGGCUUAUCUCUCGUCUACAAAGCUGGGGUUUUCCACCAAGAUGUUUCAGUCACUUCUGCUCCUGUUUCGACGACCAGAGCAAAUCACAGGGGAUGGCGGCUUUCCAGGAGGGGCUGAGAUGUACCAUAUUACCACGUGACCAGAAGGGAAAACCGUGAAAUAUGUGAACAGUGCUCGUGACGGUCCACAUCCUUUCCUUCUUCUGGAUCCUUUCCUGGUUUCCGAAUUCUGCGCUUCUAAGAUGGGAGUCAGAAACUCACUGUGGUGGACAGGAUAAUACUCCACACAAAGAUGUCCACGUCUUAAUCCCCAGAACCCGGUCAACAGCCCCCUCUGGCCUCUGGGGUAAUGCCUCCGAGACUUUCCCCGACGUCAUGACUUCGGAUUCAGAGCAUGGCGUCACGAGUUCACCAGAACUGGGCUGCCCCCACCGAUGAGUAUUUCAGUGUCUUUUGCUACGUGACGCCCAGCGACAUACGGCCACGACGUUUAUCCCGUGUUCACCGGCCUUCCCGGGGACUGGCUGUACGAUGGCCAGGCCGAUCUGGGCUGUGCUCUGCUGGAGGUCCUGGUUCAGCCUGCGGGUCGGGCUCAGGUCCGGGUUCUGGGCCAGAGGGACGGCAGCUCCCGCGGGGACGCUCGGGUCACGGUGGAUCACCGGAGCACAGAAGCCAGCGCGAUGGCAGCCAGGCUCACUUUGUCUCCGCUCCUGUCGUGACAGCGAACACCCCAUGGACCAGGGCAGGGCACGCGGUUAAGCUGAAGCCAGGGUGCGGCAAAGAGGGGGAUGCAGGGCUGGCGCUGGGGGUGCCAAGAGUUGGCCCUAAUUCAACUGUCACAACAGAGAAGGGAGCGUGGGCUCGGGGAAAUUCAGGUUAUUUUCCUGGAUCUCAUGGUAAGUCAGUCGUAUGGGUUGAGGCCACUCCUCUAUUCGUUACCCUACGUUGCCAGCACAGCAGGCUCACGGAAACUUCCGGCAGGUAACCUUCUGUGCACUACCCCCUCAUCUUGCCCUGGCCUUGUCUUUCUGUUUCGGGGGCUUGUCUGUUUCCAAACCGCAGCGUGUCACCAGCUCAGCUGUCCGUCCAUCCCUCUGGGGGAAUGCUCUUUCUCUCUCCGAUGAACUCCAUACCCCUGGCUCGGAUGACGUGUCUCUCUUGGGGCCUUUGUCUACUCCUCUGUAAAGAGGUACAUUUGUCUGUCACAUGAUGAGGGCUGGCAGCGGAAUCGCUUUGCUAGCAAUUUGCAGGCCGCUCGAGCCCCUCUUCUGUGGCGUGGUGCCCUGCUGGCCCUCAAGUGCUGGGGCGAUGGUGCGGCCAGGAACACGGGCCGUGCGUCAGGCACAUUCAGAGCAGGGGACUGUCUGUGAGGCAGGGGCCGGUCCUGCUCUGAAGACCCCGGACCGCCCAGACCCGACACGGGGGUCAGCGUGUCAUGGGGUGACCCUGUAAGUGGAGGCUGGCGCGGGGCAGGGGGGUCUGGAGGGAUCGUGGGGACCGGGUGGCUGAGGGUAUUCCUGUCACCAGAUGUAGUUCACUUGCAUGAGCGUUUCUUGAGCCCGGCAAUGUGCCAGCACCUCGGCCGGGAACUGAGCCCUUAGGACACAGGAGAGACAGCUCCUGCCCUCAGGAAGCUUCGGGGCUAGUAGGGGGAGCUGAGGACAAUAAAUGAACGGUUGCGUUCUUCAAACGUGGCAAGAACCAUGCAAACGAGAGAAGAGUUGUUUGAGCGUACUCUAACUUUUUUUUUUUUAAGUUUAUUUAUUUCGAGAGAGAGAGAGAGAGAGAGCAGGGGAGGGGCAGAGAGAGGGAG
Herpailurus yagouaroundi (jaguarundi) is the source of this 4536-nucleotide long non-coding RNA. RefSeq lists it as uncharacterized. Lineage: Eukaryota; Metazoa; Chordata; Mammalia; Carnivora; Felidae. The transcript is spliced from 5 exons. The record is from RefSeq and is a predicted model, not a curated record.